This 314-nucleotide unclassified non-coding RNA is filed under the name plant metagenome. RNAcentral's name for it is "partial contains 5.8S ribosomal RNA, internal transcribed spacer 2, and large subunit ribosomal RNA". The stretch from base 1 to 105 matches the Rfam family "5.8S ribosomal RNA", at positions 50 to 154 of the family's 154-position model. The record is from RNAcentral.
GAAAUGCGAUAAUUAAUGUGAAUUACAGAAUUCAGUGAAUCAUCGAGUCUUUGAACGCACAUUGCGCCCCCUGGUAUUCCGGGGGGCAUGCCUGUCCGAGCGUCAUUGCUGCCCUCAAGCACGGCUUGUGUGUUGGGCUUCCGUCCCUGGCAACGGGGACGGGCCCAAAAGGCAGUGGCGGCACCAUGUCUGGUCCUCGAGCGUAUGGGGCUUUGUCACCCGCUCCCGUAGGUCCAGCUGGCAGCUAGCCUCGCAACCAAUCUUUUUAACCAGGUUGACCUCGGAUCAGGUAGGGAUACCCGCUGAACUUAAGC